This is a long non-coding RNA of Dreissena polymorpha, 3282 nucleotides long. RefSeq lists it as uncharacterized. The transcript has 2 exons. NCBI's taxonomy places the organism in Eukaryota, Metazoa, Mollusca, Bivalvia, Myida, Dreissenidae. The record is from RefSeq and is a predicted model, not a curated record.
UCACUGUAUUAGAAUUUAAUAUUUACCAACAGUAAACACGUUUAAUAUAGUAAAUAUCCAAAGAGGUGUUCGUGGGUUCGUCAUGAAUAUAACUAAAUGUAUUUUACAAAUAUCUUAAAUGCAGGAGUUGCAAUUGGGAAAAAUAAUUAUACGAAUAAAAGUAAGUAGUAAUAUUAAACACUUGGGUAUUUUGUUAAACAAACAUGAACCCAUUAAUAGCAAACUAAAAACGAUCCGUUUUGGCGAAGACAUACAGAUAACUGUCGUAUCAUUGAGCGGAAACUUCAUAAAUCAAGUGUCAUAAUUUUGUGGUUCCAGAAACGAUCAUAGCACUGUGCUAAGACACUAACGUUUUUUGCUCUUAAACGUUAUGGUCAAUCUUCAGUCACCUUAUUUACAAUAUACCUCGUAAGAUGUUUUACCACGUUUACGUUUGACAACUGCGUUUCAUGAAAUUCAUAAUAAAAUGUAUGUAAUUAUACCUUUUACUGUUUCAAAAAUGGGUUAAUAAUAUACUUGAAGAUACGAGCAUGUCCAAAGUUGAUAAGCUUAUUUUAUAUAUUGAUUUUUUUCUGUGCACUUUUCUUUGUUGUUGAAUUUGUUAGCAACGUAUAAUGCAUAUGCCGCAUGAUUUAUCUUUAAAAAAAACGUAUGUAAAAUACCUUUUUCAUGCAAAUAUGAAGUGUGCAACUAAAGGUAUGUAUAAGUUGCAUUUAAGUUCCAACUCUAAAUGUUACUGUAAUUUACCAAACAUGACAUGAAAACCCAAAGUGACGAACAUGUCACAAUUUUAACUUAUGAUGAUAAAAGUUGAAAUAUCGCUUUAUGUUAAACGUUAUUAUUUGUUAUCUAUAUUUUUUUAUGAAAAACGCGUUAUACAUGCAAUAUGAAAAAUAAAUAUUCAUCAUAUAUUUGGAAAGAAACAAUCUUAAAUAGUUUUUUAUUGACGAAAAAUAUUCCGUUUAAUACUAUCGACACUGUUCAAUUAAAAUAUAUCCCUGCAGAACGCUUCAUGUCAAGGUUUUCAAAUAAUAAUGGUAUUAAAUAGUUAAUAUUAUCUUUGCAAUCAAAUGACAGUUAUAAUUCUCUAAUUAGCAUAAAUGCGAACCAUUAAAAAAGUCCAUCAUGAUAUAGAAAAUUCAAUUGAUAUUUUUGCUUUCAGGGACAUCGAGACGUCGCGAAAACUUAAUUGCUCAUGCUUAUUAUUUACAAUAGUGUAUUCAUACGUGAAUAUUUGCAAUGAAUUAAACAACUAAAGCACGUAUAACUAUUUUAAAAAACACUUAAGUUCUUUUGAAUUGCUUAUGGAUCAGAUAUACAAUUAUUUAUGUUUAUUGUUUUAAUUAAAUAUAGGAUAUUUAUUGGAUUCGAUGGAAUAUCGAUUUUAUUUCACGAGUGAAUAUAUAAAAUAGUAUUUUCGCCACGAGUAAUAUAUUUUUUUAUGAUCACGAGUGAAUUAAAAUCGAUAUUCCAUUGAAUCCAUCAAAUUUCCUUUUUAUUUUAAGCUUUUUCACCGUUUAUUUACAUCGUAAAAGAGUUUAACUGGAUUAUUUUGCUGGAGUUAUGACGUCAUUUCGUCGAAUAAAUGACGUAAUUUCACAGUAAAACAGUGAAAAAUACCGAUAUUCUUCGGUGUUAUUUUUCAUUGUUUGAAACAGUGAAAUAUCAUUUUUAUUAUGCCCCCCUUCGAAGAAGAGGGGGUAUAUUGCUUUGCUCAUGUCGGUCGGUCGGUCGGUCGGUCGGUCGGUAGGUCGGUCGGUAGGUCGGUCGGUCGGUCCGUCCACCAGGUGGUUGUCGUAUGAUAAGUCAAGAACGCAUACGCCUAGGAUCAUGAAACUUCAUAGGUAGAUUGAUCAUGACUUGCAGAUGACCCCUAUUGAUUUUGAGGUCACUAGGUCAAAGGUCAAGGUCACGGUGACCCGCAAUAGUAAAAUGGUUUCCGGAUGAUAACUCAAGAAUGCAUACGCCUAGGAUCAUGAAACUUCAUGGGUAGAUUGAUCAUGACUCGCAGAUGACCCCUAUUGAUUUUGAGGUCACUAGGUCAAAGGUCAAGGUCACGGUGACCCGAAAUAGUAAAAUGGUUUCCGGAUGAUAACUCAAGAAUGCAUACGCCUAGGAUCAUGAAACUUCAGGGGUAGAUUGAUCAAGACUCGCAGAUGACCCCUAUUGAUUUUGAGGUCACUAGGUCAAAGGUCAAGGUCACGGUGAUCCGAAAUAGUAAAAUGGUUUUCGGAUGAUAACUCAAGAACGCAUAUGCCUAGGAUCAUGAAACUUCAUAGGUAGAUUGAUCAUGACUCGCAGAUGACCCCUAUUGAUUUUGAGGUCACAAGCUCAAAGGUCAAGGUCACGGUGACUCGAAAUAGUAAAAUGAUUUUUGGAUGAUAACUCAAGAACGCUUUUGCCUAGGAUCAUGACACUUCAUAGGUACAUUGAUCGUGACUCGCAGAUGACCCCUAUUGAUUUUCAGGUCACUAGUUUAUUCUGUUUUUACACUGUCCAGUAAAGAGACUUACAAAUUGAAUUUUUGAAACAUGUUAAUUCAUAAUGAUGUAUAAGCCUUUGUUUCUGUGCCAGUAAAUACUAUGUUUAUGGAAAUGACGUGAGAAUUCAACAUUUAAAAAACCAAUGUAAUAUGAUAUGUAAUAUUAUAUGGCAACAGGACAGUUGUGAUUUGCUGGGUCAAUUCUAUUUAGCUUGACCAUCCAAGCGGUUGAUAGCUUUGACAAACUGGUGGUCUGAAACAUUGAAAAAAUGUCACGAUUCACUGACAAUAAAUCAAACAUGUAAUUCUUGCUACGCAACUUGCAUAUAAUUUUGUCAAUUCAAAUUAUACAUAAAAAUAUAAUUAAUUUUUAAUCUGCUUGUUAAUUGAAAAACAGCAACACAGUUUGUAUGUUUAAAACAAUGUUAAUACAUAAAUAGGAUCAAGCAUAUUAAAAUAUCAACUUAGAUUUAGUUUCCUUUACUGUACAGGAUUUGUAAAGUUAGGUUAAUAUUUGUGUAUUGAACAAAAAUAACAACAGUGUAAAGAAAAGUUAAUUUGGGGAUGUUCUAUCCAAACCCUGAGAGUUCAGAUUUCCUCAAAUGCCAAGUAAAGAUUGUAAAUUUCAACCCACUCGUCUGGUUAGUUUUCAGAGGCACAUAUAAUUAACUUUUAGGCUUAGUGUCUCAUUUGUACAUGCAUUACUGUAUUAACUCCAAAUCAACUAGUACAAGUGGUAGGCCAGUAUUACAUGGACUGGUGUUCACUGUUUACACAGUUUCACAACCCCAUCUGAUACU